AGCAGCCGCGGUAAUUCCAGCUCCAAUAGCGUAUAUUAAAGUUGUUGCAGUUAAAAAGCUCGUAGUUGAAUUUCGGGAUUCUACCGUUGGUCGGGCUAUCCAGUCUGUACUAGCGUGUAGAAUUCCUACCUUCUGGGGAACCAUCAUGUUAUUAAUUUAGCGUGGUGGGAAACCAGGACCUUUACCUUGAAAAAAUUAGAGUGUUCAAAGCAGGCUUACGUCUGAAUACAUUAGCAUGGAAUAAUAGAAUAGGACGGUGGUCCUGUUUUGUUGGUUUCUGAAUCACCGUAAUGAUUAAUAGGGAUAGUUGGGGGCAUUAGUAUUCAAUUGUCAGAGGUGAAAUUCUUGGAUUUAUUGAAGACUAACUUCUGCGAAAGCAUUUGCCAAGGAUGUUUUCAUUAAUCAAGAACGAAAGUUAGGGGAUCGAAGACGAUCAGAUACCGUCGUAGU
RNAcentral lists this ribosomal RNA (450 nucleotides) under uncultured Glomeromycotina. RNAcentral describes it as "SSU rRNA". It matches the Rfam family "Eukaryotic small subunit ribosomal RNA", at positions 569 to 1024 of the family's 1831-position model. The record is from RNAcentral. Lineage: Eukaryota; Fungi; Glomeromycota.